AAACAUUGGUAAUUCUUGCUACAUGGGGGCGACGCUCCAGCUCCUGGCUGGAGACCAAAUUGUCUCCAAAAGCCAAGAAGAAUUCAUUGAAAAGCAUAAGGAGCAGAGUUUUUUAGCCACUCCCCAAGAUGAUUCCUCGAUAGUUGAGGUACGACCUCAAAUCGAGGAGCUUGAGGGAGUGGUCAACACUCUGCUCUCUAUCAAAGAUCAAAAGACUGAAGUGCAGCCUUCAAAAAUAAUGAAAAUAGUCAAUAGGCAUAACAGGUCCUUUGAAGUGGGCAGAAAGCAGGACGCUCACGAGUGCCUUGACAUUUUGUUAAAUAUUUUUGCCAAGCUACCAAAAUCACAGCAAGUCUUCAUGGGGGCGUGUAGCCCGAGACAAACAUGUUUUGUUUGUGAUGACCAGACACAAUGUGAUAUCGAGGAAUUCAAUGGCCUAACCCUGCCGGUUGCCCCAACAAUUAAUGAGGCAAUGAAACAAUAUUUCGAGGACGAAAUACUCGACGGCCAAAACAAAGUGUACUGCGAAAGAUGCCAGAAUAAAACUAAAACCGGUAGGGUUAGGCCUAUUCUUCUCUUCCCGUCCACACUUUUUUUAAUUAUGAUGAGAUAUGGGCUAGAAAAGAAAAAUUGUCGACCAAUCAAUAUCGAAAGAAAACUCUACAUUCCGGAUCAAUUAAGUGUGGACGGGGAGAAUGCUUCGUACACCCUCCAAGGAAUUGUGAUUCAUCAAGGCAGAAAUUGCCAUAGUGGACAUUAUACAGCUUUAGUCAGAGAUGAUAAUGACGGCGAUGACGACUGGGUUUACUGCGAUGAUGAAGUCGUUUGUAGAGUUCGCGACUCGUAUCUGAAUACAAACAUAAUCAAGGAAAACUGCUACAUCUUGCGAUAUAUAUUGUCGUCUCAUCAAAAAGUAUAAGCUUGAAAUCAGACAAGAAACUCUGUCAUCGGAUACAAAGGAUCCAGACUUUUCAAAGAAUAGUUACCUUGAUAAAAAAACAAGAAAGGAGACCUUAUCGAAUUUUUGCCAAUGAAAUAGUGCUCUUGCCAUUCAAU
This 1056-nucleotide unclassified non-coding RNA is filed under the name Exaiptasia diaphana. RNAcentral describes it as "ubiquitin carboxyl-terminal hydrolase 9, transcript variant X3". Lineage: Eukaryota; Metazoa; Cnidaria; Anthozoa; Actiniaria; Aiptasiidae. The record is from RNAcentral.